This 366-nucleotide ribosomal RNA is filed under the name Triticum aestivum (bread wheat). RNAcentral describes it as "partial small subunit ribosomal RNA". Lineage: Eukaryota; Viridiplantae; Streptophyta; Magnoliopsida; Poales; Poaceae. The record is from RNAcentral.
AUGGCUUCUUCCGGUUCCGUGACGAGGCCACCGUGUGCUAACCGCGAGGACAUGCCGGACAAGUGGAUAGACGCCCAGUUGGAUAAGGUGAAGGACAAAGAUAUGGGAACUCCAUCAUGUUGGUGUGGAGAUGUUUGCAAAGUUAAGGUAUCCACCGACCGCAAGAAAUCAUGGACGGAAGGAAGAAGAUAUUUUGUUUGCCCCAACUAUGCCUACGAUCGUCCUCGUCCAGCUCACGCCUAUGAUGUACCGCUGGUAAGUUGUUCAAGUUCAAAGAGUAUUCAACCGUUGCUACAACUUGAACCUAUCUUACUAAUGACCACAUUUUUUCUUUAUUCGUACGUAGUCGCCGCCUCCACUUUGUAA